GAUCCUGGCUCAGGAUGAACGCUAGCUACAGGCUUAACACAUGCAAGUCGAGGGGCAGCAUUUUUUAUAGCAAUAUAAAAGAUGGCGACCGGCGCACGGGUGAGUAACACGUAUCCAACCUGCCGAUAACUCGGGGAUAACCCUUCGAAAGAAGGCCUAAUACCCGAUGGCAUAUCCCUUCCGCCUGGUUGGGAUAUUAAAGAACUUCGGUUAUCGAUGGGGAUGCGUUCCAUUAGCUUGUUGGCGGGGUAACGGCCC
Molecule: ribosomal RNA, 258 nt
Filed under: uncultured bacterium
Lineage: Bacteria
Description: partial 16S ribosomal RNA
Rfam family: Bacterial small subunit ribosomal RNA
Source: RNAcentral